ACUCAAAUGAAUUGACGGGGACUAGCACAAGCGGUGGAUGAUGUGGUUUAAUUCGACGUCAAACGAAGAACCUCACCAGGAUUAGAAAUCUAGUUGAAGACAGUAAGAAACUAUUGUCGUCCGCAAGGACAAUUAGACAGGUGCUGCAUGGCCGUCGUCAGUUCGUGGUUUGAACUGUUCCCUUAAGUGGGGUAACGAACGCAACCCUCGUUGGCUGUUACAAGUGUCAGCCGAGACUGCCCGCGACUCAGAACGCAAUUCCAAAAGAAUUGUAGAUUGAGUCGCGGGAGGAAGGCGAGGAUGACGCCAGGUCCGCAUGGCCCUCUGAUAUCCUGGGCCACACACAUCAUACAAUCGGUGCGACAACAGGUCGCGACGGGGAAACCCUGAGCCAAUCCUUAUAAACGCACCGCCAGUUCGGAUUGAGGUCUGCAACUCGACCUCAUGAAGCCGGAAUCGCUAGUAAUCGCAGGUCAGCUAUACUGCGGUGAAUACGUUCUCUAGUCUUGUACACACCGCCCGU
RNAcentral lists this ribosomal RNA (523 nucleotides) under uncultured bacterium. RNAcentral describes it as "partial 16S ribosomal RNA". It matches the Rfam family "Bacterial small subunit ribosomal RNA", at positions 899 to 1397 of the family's 1533-position model. The record is from RNAcentral.